CACGUAGGCGGCUUUUUAAGUCAGGGGUGAAAUCCUGGAGCUUAACUCCAGAACUGCCUUUGAUACUGAGGAGCUAGAGUCCGGAAGAGGUGAGUGGAACUGCGAGUGUAGAGGUGAAAUUCGUAGAUAUUCGCAAGAACACCAGUGGCGAAGGCGGCUCACUGGUCCGGUACUGACGCUGAGGUGCGAAAGCGUGGGGAGCAAACA
Molecule: ribosomal RNA, 207 nt
Filed under: uncultured bacterium
Lineage: Bacteria
Description: partial 16S ribosomal RNA
Rfam family: Bacterial small subunit ribosomal RNA
Source: RNAcentral